RNAcentral lists this ribosomal RNA (367 nucleotides) under uncultured organism. Its description in RNAcentral is "bacterial SSU rRNA". It matches the Rfam family "Bacterial small subunit ribosomal RNA", at positions 526 to 896 of the family's 1533-position model. The record is from RNAcentral.
CGUAGGGUGCAAGCGUUAAUCGGAAUUACUGGGCGUAAAGCGUGCGCAGGCGGUUAUGUAAGACAGAGGUGAAAUCCCCGGGCUCAACCUGGGAACUGCCUUUGUGACUGCAUAGCUAGAGUACGGCAGAGGGGGAUGGAAUUCCGCGUGUAGCAGUGAAAUGCGUAGAUAUGCGGAGGAACACCGAUGGCGAAGGCAAUCCCCUGGGCCUGACUGACGCUCAUGCACGAAAGCGUGGGGAGCAAACAGGAUUAGAUACCCUGGUAGUCCACGCCCUAAACGAUGUCAACUGGUUGUUGGGUCUUUACUGACUCAGUAACGAGCUAACGCUAGAGUUGACCGCCUGGGGAGUACGGCCGCAAGGUUG